Molecule: ribosomal RNA, 462 nt
Filed under: uncultured bacterium
Lineage: Bacteria
Description: partial 16S ribosomal RNA
Rfam family: Bacterial small subunit ribosomal RNA
Source: RNAcentral
GACGAACGCUGGCGGCGUGCUUAACACAUGCAAGUCGAACGGUAAGGCCCUUCGGGGUACACGAGUGGCGAACGGGUGAGUAACACGUGGGUAAUCUGCCCUGCACUUCGGGAUAAGCCUGGGAAACUGGGUCUAAUACCGGAUAUUCAGUUCCUGCCGCAUGGUGGGGGUUGGAAAGUUUUUCGGUGCAGGAUGAGCCCGCGGCCUAUCAGCUUGUUGGUGGGGUAAUGGCCUACCAAGGCGACGACGGGUAGCCGGCCUGAGAGGGUGAUCGGCCACACUGGGACUGAGACACGGCCCAGACUCCUACGGGAGGCAGCAGUGGGGAAUAUUGCACAAUGGGCGAAAGCCUGAUGCAGCGACGCCGCGUGAGGGAUGACGGUCUUCGGAUUGUAAACCCCUUUCAGUAGGGACGAAGCGCAAGCGACGGUACCUGCAGAAGAAGCACCGGCCAACUACGUG